This 1476-nucleotide long non-coding RNA is filed under the name Felis catus (domestic cat). Its description in RNAcentral is "lncRNA (ENSFCAG00000053847.1)". The record is from RNAcentral. Lineage: Eukaryota; Metazoa; Chordata; Mammalia; Carnivora; Felidae.
CGGAAGGACGGUCUGCAAGGUCUGCACGGUUUGCACGAGGAAGGUGGCGACCCCGGGCAGGCUCCGGCUCUGAGGGAUUUACAGCUAGCCUCGUAAACACCGCGCCCGAGCCCUCCAGGGACCCCAGAGGCACAAGCAGCUCGGGGCUUCCUGCGGGGGGCGCUGCGGCCCAAAAUGCCCGGGUGCAAAACAAGACCCAGUAGCAACUUCCAAUGCCGCCCUGGGACAGAAAGCUGCGGGUCUCACGGGCCCCGCUCGGGGCGCCCGGGGUUCUCGUGCACUUUGCAGGGUGGGGGUGGAGCUGUGCUGAUUUUCACCGAGAGCACUCCACUUCCGGUGCCCCACGCAUUAUUUCGGCGCCAUAUUGUUUCCCAGACCGGCCUCCAGAUUUGGUUGAAUGAAGCUGGCAUAGACAGGAAAGUUAUGAGGUGUGGAGUUUCGCUCCCGUGUCCUGUGGUGACGUAAGCGUGGACCUCCGGCUCUGGGCAAGAGUGUCUCCAAGUUUUGCUGGCCUCAUCAGCAGCAUGGGGAAGAGGUAAACAGUUCCCUCCCUGCUGGGUUGUUGGAGGGAUCAGGUGAAACACUGCAUUAUGUCUGACACGUGUAACAAGUGCUUGAUAAAUAUUUGCUACCUGAAAACAGUAUAACUCGUUGAAAGAAGUCCAAAGAAAUCAGUGCAAAUGUUAAGCUGGUAUGUUUUCCUGUGAAUGGAAAACCAUCGUCUUUAGGCUAAAACCAAACAAAAAAACCCCAAGUUGUAUUUUCCUUUUUGGCUGGGUUUUCCAUUAAAAAAGAUUCUUCCUAAACGUAAACAAGCAAAUGAACUAAAGGAAAUUUACAAUUGUGGGUUGUCAUUAAAUUGCAAGGCCCCCCCUUGGGACCGGGUAGAAGCCCAUUGCUCCAUACCUCUGGCCCGCGGAGUCAUUCAAGGAUGCCCUUCCCGCGACUGGACAAAACGAUGCAGGCCGAUUUUCCAUGUGUGACGUCUACCGUGCUCUGGGGAUGGUUCCCACUGGCCACUGACCAAUCUGAGGUGACUGCUUUCUUUCCACAUGGAAAAACUGCAUCUACUGGGAGAGAUCAGAGUCCCGGAGUCCUUUGUGUCUCAUGACGUCAGAAGCAUUUCCUAGUCCAUUUCCCUAGAGUCUGACCACCAGGAGCACUGACCCUGUUUUAAACGUGAAAGUCCGUCUGACAUGACUAGAAUUUUCCCCGACCACAGCCAUUCGACUCAAGUUGGAACGCACUGGUAGUGUGGGUGUUCCUCGUUCGUACCAGGGCCCCUGCUCAGAGGAUGAGUAGGAAUUAGCCUUUGCACGGACACCAGGCUGCCCUCAAGGGUAUUUACCAACUGUAUGGUCUUGAGAUAUUCUUCCUUUCCAGUUUCUGGGUAUUCAUCUGUAAAAUGAGGCAAUAGAAGCUAACAGGGUUAGCGUGUGAGGAAUAAAACCCCGGAAUAUGAAGGUUUGUUAUACA